UUGGAGGGCAAGUCUGGUGCCGGCAGCCGCGGUAAUUCCAGCUCCAAUAGCGUAUAUUAAAGUUGUUGCAGUUAAAAAGCUCGUAGUUGAAUUUCGGGAUUCUUCCGUUGGUCAGGCUAACAAGUCUGUACUAGCGUGUAGAAUCUCUACCUUCUGGGGAACCAUCAUGUUAUUAAUUUAGCGUGGUGGGAAACCAGGACCUUUACCUUGAAAAAAUUAGAGUGUUCAAAGCAGGCUUACGUCUGAAUACAUUAGCAUGGAAUAAUAAAAUAGGACGGUGGUCCUGUUUUGUUGGUUUCUGAAUCACCGUAAUGAUUAAUAGGGAUAGUUGGGGGCAUUAGUAUUCAAUUGUCAGAGGUGAAAUUCUUGGAUUUAUUGAAGACUAACUUCUGCGAAAGCAUUUGCCAAGGACGUUUUCAUUAAUCAAGAACGAAAGUUAGGGGAUCGAAGACGAUCAGAUACCGUCGUAGUCUUAACCAUAAACUAUGCCGACUAGGGAUCGGACGAUGUUAAAUUUUAUUGACUCGUUCGGCGCCUUACGGGAAAC
This 547-nucleotide ribosomal RNA is filed under the name uncultured Glomeromycotina. RNAcentral's name for it is "SSU rRNA". It matches the Rfam family "Eukaryotic small subunit ribosomal RNA", at positions 548 to 1098 of the family's 1831-position model. The record is from RNAcentral. Lineage: Eukaryota; Fungi; Glomeromycota.